UGCAUGGUUGUCGUCAGCUCGUGUCGUGAGAUGUUGGGUUAAGUCCCGCAACGAGCGCAACCCUUGUCUUUAGUUGCCAUCAUUAAGUUGGGCACUCUAGAGAGACUGCCAGGGAUAACCUGGAGGAAGGUGGGGAUGACGUCAAAUCAUCAUGCCCCUUAUGCUUAGGGCUACACACGUGCUACAAUGGGUAGUACAGAGGGUUGCCAAGCCGUAAGGUGGAGCUAAUCCCUUAAAGCUACUCUCAGUUCGGAUUGUAGGCUGAAACUCGCCUACAUGAAGCUGGAGUUACUAGUAAUCGCAGAUCAGAAUGCUGCGGUGAAUGCGUUCCCGGGUCUUGUACACACCGCCCGUCACACCACGGGAGUUGGAGACGCCCGAAGCCGAUUAUCUAACCUUUUGGAAGAAGUCGUCGAA
Molecule: ribosomal RNA, 417 nt
Filed under: Clostridioides difficile
Lineage: Bacteria; Bacillati; Bacillota; Clostridia; Peptostreptococcales; Peptostreptococcaceae
Description: bacterial SSU rRNA
Rfam family: Bacterial small subunit ribosomal RNA
Source: RNAcentral